This is a non-coding RNA of Labrus bergylta (ballan wrasse), 2071 nucleotides long. NCBI's taxonomy places the organism in Eukaryota, Metazoa, Chordata, Actinopteri, Labriformes, Labridae. The record is from RefSeq and is a predicted model, not a curated record.
GACCGGCGGCGGACGCUGCUUGUACGCUUUUUACAUCAUCACAAAUUAUGAAAGGUCAAGGUGUGCCGUGUAAUCGUGUGAAAGUGUUGCUGGAACGCGUCUCAAGACAGGACUAUUUAAGACAGAACCUAACACUUAUAAAUUAAAGGGAUGAAACUAAAAAAAGCAUUAGACAAUUUAAAAUAAAGAUCUCACAUCCACAUUUUGACUGUUUUGACAAGUUUGAUCAUCAUCAGUUAAUUUCAGCUGCCUAAGAGCUCCAACUGUUUUAACUUUUCAUGACUCCGAACAGAUCUUGGACUCAUCCAUGUUGUCUCAAUACUCUCAUUUAAUUUUUAGUUUCGUAUUUAAUUGUGGAAAGAUUCCCAGAUUAGUUUUUUUAAUGAGCGCAGCAUGUGUGGAUUUUUCCUGCCAGCCAACUUGUAAAAUUGUGUUUGAACGCAGCAGGUAAUAUUCAGUAUCACGUGUAGAUCUUGCAACCAGCACACAACCUGUGUAAGUGAUCCUCAUGCAUAUAAUGAAACUGCUUCAUUAUGUUUUCUGCUCCCCGGUAUGUUCUUCUCUGCCCUUUAAUUUAUACUGUUUAUAUCUGUUUAAUGACAUGUGUGACGACCCUGCUGGUUCCUGGUCCCCUGUGUCGUCUUUCUUUUGUUUCAGGUGCCAGAGGGCGUGGUCUGUGGGAUCGGGGACUGAUUGACAGUGGAUUUCUCAAAAAGCUACUAUCCCGGAGUGGGACGUCCCAUAAUCCCCCCUGAAGAUUGAUCAGACAGCGACACCUAUUGGCAUUGUGAUGGGACUGCAGCAGGAUCCAGGAUCGCAGCAGGUUUUCUCUGCUGCAAAAGUAUUUCUCAACUCUUCCGGUUUUGAAGAAUGACAUAAGCCAAACCAGACCAAACUGGCUCUGUAUCUCAUGUCGCUCUCUGUCUUUCUCUCACUCCCUCUCUCUACCCUAUCCCUCUCCCUGCUGACCUUCUGAAUCCGUGCCCGUCCUCCUCUUCACCGCUAUGGCCGCCACCACAGCAGGAAAGAGACGGGCGUACUCCAGCAGGGAGUCCUUGUGGCAGGUGAGGGAGCUGCUGCCGUCUCCCCCCCUCACGCUCCUUCUCGUGGCCAGCCAGCAGGUUGGCCACGAGAAGGAGCCGACGUCGUUGGCCAGCAGCCACUGGAAGGUCUGGCCCCGGUACUGACUAAACAGCAUCUCAUCCUGCUGAGGACGAGCCGCUGGUCAGACGGGUCCCCUCCCAGCGCUGUGACCUGGGCCCGAGCGUCGGCCUCUGCCCUCUGGCCAGUUAUGUGUCAGGCGACCAGAUACCCGGCAGCUUAUCCUUUGCGGUCAAUAACUACCAGGUCUGUUGUGAAGGCUCUUUUCCAGUUUGUUUCUGUGUUCGGCAUUCCAAAGGUUUUUCAGAGGGUUCAAGGCUCCAACUUUUCCUCUCACAUGUUUGCACAGAUUUUAAAGCAGCUUCAGGUUAGGCGCCCGCAGUCCUCAGCUUAUCGUGCACAGAGUCAGGGGGUGCUGGAGCGCUUUCAUCAGAUGCUUAAAUUGUUGCUGAGGGCUUUCUGCUGAUGGGGAGUGAGUGGGAAGAGGGCUUGCCUUGGCUGAUGCUGGCAGCCCAGGAGGUUACUCAGGAAAGCACUGGGUUUAGCCCAAACGAGGGAAAACGAGGAGAUGUGGAGAAGGAGACGGGGAGACGCGGGGAAGGAGACGGGGAGACGCGGGGAAGGAGACAUGGAGAAGGAGACGGGGAGACAUGGAGAAGGAGACGGGGAGACGUUAAGAAGGAGACAUGGAGAAGGAGACGGGGAAAUGUGAAGGAGACAUGGAGAAGGAGACGGAAGGAGAUGUGGAGAAGGAGACAGGGAGACAUGGAGAAGGAGACGUGGAGAAGGAGACGUGGAGACAGGGAGACGUGGAGAAGGAGACAGGGAGAUGUGGAGAAGGAGACGGGGAGACAUGGAGAAGGAGAUAUGGAGAAGGAAACAUGGCGACAUGGAGAAGGAGACGGGGAGAUGUGGAGAAGGAGACGUGAAGGAGACGGGGAGACAUGGAGAAGGAGACGUGGAGAAGGAG